GUAUAUCAGUCAUUGCAAAUGAAAGCAGCCACCAGGAAGAGAGUCAAUCAGUGCCUGAUCUACAACAGGAAAUAAGCACCUGUCCUAUAUCAGUAGUUUCUGCACAUGAAAUCACAGAAGCAUCAGAGACUGUUGGAACCAUGGAACCAGAAAGCAACACAACAGAAGAGCGGCCACCAUCUCAGAUUGCUGGCACGUCCGUGAUGAAUCGCAGUGAAGAAAUGUAUUGUGAGCAGAAGACCAAUGCAGUUUCUGAUCCUCAAUUACAGUCGAACCCAGAGAGCUCAAAGAAAACCUCUGUGCAGACCAAGAAAGGACGCUUUUCCAAAAUAAAACCUAAACCUAACAUUGCCCGAGCCUCCAGGACUACACAGUCAAAUUCACAAACAAAUAACAACAAAUUAUCUUUAAAGACAGCUGAGGACGGUCACUCUAGUGCUUCUGACAUUUUUCAGGUCAGCCACUCACAACAGGUUCCUGAAAAUAUUUCUGAAUUGCAAAACUCUGGUCCAACCGUAACAGGAGAAAUUUCCUGUAGUGACGUCAGACUUACAGAGGAGCCGUCUGGUCGUCAGGAAGCAGGACGCUCUGUAAUCGCUGAUCAGAGUACAUCAGAGAACCAGAACAGCUGCAUUCCUGAGACUCAGCUUGAAUCCAGUAGAGAGAACCAGCUGACAACUGGGCCCGCAGAUGACAGGACAGAAAGAAGAGACAGAAGUUACAAAUACUUUGGAGACAAGGAGGGGACGACUCCAUGAAGUAAAAUCUACAGACAGUCAACUGCAGGCAUCAGAAACAGAACAACCUGAAACUCAAACCACACAAGACCCUGUCACACACUUGGAGCUUGUAGACAAACCCUCCAUCCAAACUGCAAACCUCCAACCCACAGAGAAACCAGCAAAAAAGAUGGAAACAGAACCAACUGGCAAUGCCACCCUUCUGAAACUCCAAGUCAAAGCACUGGACCCGAUUCGGUUUUUGUAUCAUCGGUGAAUAUGGACUCUACUCAUGAAACAGCACAGAAACUGUCUAUAACUGAGGAGAAAAAAACAGAUGUUGAAUUCGCCAGUCAGGCAGAUUCGUGUUCAGAAAGCUCCGAACAAAAUGUGCCUCAAAGAAGGCGCCGCUUUCCUAAAGUGAAACCCAAACCAAAUUUGGGAUCAUCCCCCAGAUCCACCCAGCCAAGAGCUCAGCUAAAAUGCCUCAGCAAAUCCUCUAACCAGCUCUGUAAAGAUAGUUCUUCAAAUGCAACCUCAGAACAACAACAAUCUGUCGAACAGAACAGUGCAAAAACUCAAGUAGAAUCUGCAGAGACAGACUCCCAGCACCUGACACCAUCACAUUCUUCUUUAAAUAUAGAGCUCAGUUCAGCAAACGCUGGAAAUGCAGAGUCUGAGAAAUCCUUAGGCAGCACAAAUGAGAAGGAUGCACAGUCUGACAGCAUUGUCAUGGCAACAUCUUGGGUUGCUGAGAGUGAGACAAUGUUCACAGACUCAGUUUCUGAAAAUAAAACUAAUACGAGGCCUCCGGUGGAAGAAUCCACAGGUGGCUGUAUCUCAAACCAGGACAAAGUGGAGACACUGGACACUGAAGCAGCUUCACUAUGUAACACUGAGCAAGAGAUAAACAGUAGGACCGCAGGGUCAAACACACAACCAGUAGGAGAUCCAAGCACAGUCUCCAUUGUGCAGCAUUCACAUGAUGUCUCUGCACUGACAACUAAAGCAGAGUCCAUACCAGAAAACAUCCAGCAGUCACAGUCAGAAAUUCAUUCUGACAUACGAAGUCAAGAUGCAGCACAACAUCGCUCUGAAACAAAUGAAACAAAACAAGCAAACCAAGACAAAUGUCCUCCCCAUGAAAGCUUCAGUGAAACUCAGGAUGUACCAGCUGACUCCUCCAAGACCUCAAGAAAGCCUCAAACUCAGAGGGGCCGCUUUAUUAAACCGAAACCCAACCUGGGACGCAGCAGUCGACCUCAACGACCCCAAAGCAAAACUGAAAACAUGACAGACUCUGCUGUUUGCUCAGACAAUGCAGAUGCUUCCGAUUCCCAGAAAGCUGUCUCUGAACUUCGCUCUGAUGUUCAGGUGACACUAGAGGCAGCUAAAGAACAAGUUGGAGGUCUACAUGUUCCUCCCAAUGAUGCAGGGUCCACUUUGGGUGACUUGACCCAAGUACAUGACAGUUCAGCCCAGUCUUUCCAGGAUGCAACCACAUCAAGCACCAUGGAGACCCUAAAUUACCAAAGUCUGUCCAUAUUUCAAGAGAUCCUAACAGAGCAGGUUCCCUCAGAUCCAGAUGAGCCAUUUUUUGUCCUCUCUCUGACUGCGAUCCCAGUCUGCCCAUCAGGGGAGGUGCUAGACACUGUGUCUGAGCCUUAUCGUCCUGUAACAGAUGUGCUAGCACAACAAGAGAGCAGUGGUCCUGGAGAGACCGUCACAGCAGGGAGUGAUGGGUCUUUCGCCAACAUUCAUGUACCGACAUCUACAGAGGCAAGCAAUGAAACAGACCUCAUCAGUGGGAAAGAAACUGGGCCAGAUCCAGCUGUGAGUGAACAGAACUUACUCAUGGAAAGGCCAGAGAAUCCACAAGAUGGUAGUUCAGCCCAACCACCAAACUUACCGGACGCCACAGAGAAUACCCAGGAGUCUGACAACCCUCUGACAAAACGGAGACAAACUGGAAGAAGAGCCAAACUCCAGGUUAAGCCCAAAACUGCAAGAAACAGGCAAGUCAGAAACAAAGAAAGCCUCACUGUCGAGGAAGCUAAUAAACCUCUGCAAACAAACACCACCCAAGAUGCAGAGAUUCCUAGACCCUCUGUGCAGCCAGAAGCAACUGAUUCAACAGCGAAAACAUGGAUUGAGAUUAUUAGUGAUUCAGAGGAAGAAAGUGGAGAUCGUCUAGUCACUGAAAAGAGUGGAAAGGCUGUUGAAGAUCGUAGUUCUGGAGCACAAAGCAAGACUGCAGAGUCCAGAGGGAAAAGGCAGACUAGAAAAUCCAAAAACGUCCUUCCUGUUAUUUCUGAGACAAACAGCACUAAACAACCAAGUGAUCCUCCACAAGCUAAAGCAUCCACUCGUAGUAAAGUCAAAGCUCCACGUGCUGCAAGAAGAAGGACAACUCCACCUGCUGUAGCUUCAACAUCACAUGAUGUGGCUUACUCAACCGUUCCAGAGGAAACCCACUCACCAGUCUCUGCCACACCACCAUCACAAAUACAAAUGGAUGUCCAGCAGAGUGAAGAUCACAGCCAGCCACUCUCAGACACAGCUCCCAGUACUUCUGAGUGCACAGCCGAGGUUUCAUCCACCCAGCAAAGUGACUGGAUGGAGAGCAGCCAAGUGGAUGACGAGCCCACCAGUGUUUCUCAGUAUUUCUUAAGUGACAUUUUUACAGAUGUGGAAGAUGAAUAAAAGCCACGUAGAGAUGGGAGCGAGAAGAGGAACCUGCCAGGGACCUGCCUUUAACAGAAUUUGUUUCUUUAAACUCGAACUGUAUAGGUUAAUUUAUAACAAAAUGAGUAUUUUUUGGUAUGUCCUUUGGAAUCAAGUGAAGUUAAAUUCACUUUGAGAAACACAUAAUUCCAGUAGCACGUUGUUUAUGUUCAGUACUUACAAAUGCAUUGUUGCAUCCAUUAGCUCAUAUUCAAAACCAAAACAGACAAAUCACAUGUUCGACUGAAAGAGGCAGCAGUUUUGUGUAAAAUGUGGAAGUUUUUCUUUCUUUUUUAAAAAUGAUUAUUAUUAUUAUUAUUAUUAUUAUUAUUAUUAUUAUUAUUAUUAUUUCAUAUAUACAUAGGAAAAUGUAAAUAUUGUACAAUAAACUACCCCCAUGCUAUAUGCUUUGAAUACAGACCACACCAUUGGUCUCAGGAAUAUACCAUACACACAUGUACAGUUGUACAGUUGAUUUAAUGCCUUUGUUUUAAUGCCAUUUUUAUUUUUUUGUGCAACUUUUCUCACAACAGUAUAAUCUAAAGCAUUUUUCUAAAAUGUUUUCUUUUAAACCUCAGAGACGUCAGGAGCAGACAUUUGUAUUUGGUUAGAAUAGGUUCUGGUACAUGUCUAUCAGCAGUAAAAGAGGAAGAUGUUUUAUUGUACUGAAUAUAGGAUGUUGAAAAGGUUGUAGAUAUUGGAGUAUCUAAGAAGCCUCUGAAGUCUCAAAGUGUGACAUAUUCUGUGCACACAUGAUUUAAAAAAAAAUCAUUUGGGACUUCAGGGCCAAUUUUGCUUUCAGUUUAUUGCAUUUGAUACUUGAAAUAAAACCACAUCAGUUGUGUAGCAACAAUAAAAUAUCCAUUUCUGUCAGAUAAUAAAAGAAAAUUUCAUCCAACGCUGUGCAUGUCAGACUUGUUGAGGUUUCCAUUAA
Long non-coding RNA from Sphaeramia orbicularis (orbiculate cardinalfish), 4377 nucleotides. The record is from Ensembl. NCBI's taxonomy places the organism in Eukaryota, Metazoa, Chordata, Actinopteri, Kurtiformes, Apogonidae.